RNAcentral lists this transfer RNA (60 nucleotides) under Platygaster sp. ZJUH_2016026. RNAcentral's name for it is "tRNA-Cys". The record is from RNAcentral. Lineage: Eukaryota; Metazoa; Arthropoda; Insecta; Hymenoptera; Platygastridae.
AUUUAUAUAGUUUAAUGAAAACUUUAAAUUGCAAAUUUAAAAAUCUAUUUUGUGUAAAUU